AAGCCGGGUUACGGUGCCCAACUGCGCGCUAACCUAGAUCCCACAAAAGGGUGUUGGUCGAUUAAGACAGCAGGACGGUGGUCAUGGAAGUCGAAAUCCGCUAAGGAGUGUGUAACAACUCACCUGCCGAAUCAACUAGCCCCGAAAAUGGAUGGCGCUUAAGCGCGCGACCUAUACCCGCCGUCGGGCAAGAGCUAGGCCCCGAUG
This 207-nucleotide non-coding RNA is filed under the name Ipomoea nil (Japanese morning glory). RNAcentral's name for it is "Eukaryotic large subunit ribosomal RNA". It matches the Rfam family "Eukaryotic large subunit ribosomal RNA", at positions 1172 to 1379 of the family's 3401-position model. Lineage: Eukaryota; Viridiplantae; Streptophyta; Magnoliopsida; Solanales; Convolvulaceae. The record is from Rfam by way of RNAcentral.